RNAcentral lists this ribosomal RNA (490 nucleotides) under uncultured bacterium. RNAcentral's name for it is "partial 16S ribosomal RNA". It matches the Rfam family "Bacterial small subunit ribosomal RNA", at positions 30 to 507 of the family's 1533-position model. The record is from RNAcentral.
AUUGAACGCUGGCGGCAGGCCUAACACAUGCAAGUCGAACGGUAACAGAAAGCAGCUUGCUGCUUUGCUGACGAGUGGCGGACGGGUGAGUAAUGUCUGGGAAACUGCCUGAUGGAGGGGGAUAACUACUGGAAACGGUAGCUAAUACCGCAUAACGUCGCAAGACCAAAGAGGGGGACCUUCGGGCCUCUUGCCAUCGGAUGUGCCCAGAUGGGAUUAGCUAGUGGGUGGGGUAACGGCUCACCUAGGCGACGAUCCCUAGCUGGUCUGAGAGGAUGACCAGCCACACUGGAACUGAGACACGGUCCAGACUCCUACGGGAGGCAGCAGUGGGGAAUAUUGCACAAUGGGCGCAAGCCUGAUGCAGCCAUGCCGCGUGUAUGAAGAAGGCCUUCGGGUUGUAAAGUACUUUCAGCGGGGAGGAAGGGAGUAAAGUUAAUACCUUUGCUCAUUGACGUUACCCGCAGAAGAAGCACCGGCUAACUCCGUG